UACGUAGGGUGCAAGCGUUAAUCGGAAUUACUGGGCGUAAAGCGUGCGCAGGCGGUUUUGUAAGACUGUCGUGAAGUCCCCGGGCUCAACCUGGGAAUGGCGAUGGUGACUGCAAGGCUAGAGUUUGGCAGAGGGGGGUAGAAUUCCACGUGUAGCAGUGAAAUGCGUAGAUAUGUGGAGGAACACCGAUGGCGAAGGCAGCCCCCUGGGUCAAAACUGACGCUCAUGCACGAAAGCGUGGGGAGCAAACAGG
Molecule: ribosomal RNA, 253 nt
Filed under: uncultured bacterium
Lineage: Bacteria
Description: partial 16S ribosomal RNA
Rfam family: Bacterial small subunit ribosomal RNA
Source: RNAcentral